UACGUAGGGCGCAAGCGUUGUCCGGAAUUAUUGGGCGUAAGAGCUCGUAGGCGGUCUGUCGCGUCUGUUGUGAAAACUCGAGGCUCAACCUCGGGCUUGCAGUGGAUACGGGCAGACUAGAGUGCGGUAGGGGAGACUGGAAUUCCUGGUGUAGCGGUGGAAUGCGCAGAUAUCAGGAGGAACACCGAUGGCGAAGGCAGGUCUCUGGGCCGCAACUGACGCUGAGGAGCGAAAGCAUGGGGAGCGAACAGG
This 252-nucleotide ribosomal RNA is filed under the name uncultured bacterium. Its description in RNAcentral is "partial 16S ribosomal RNA". It matches the Rfam family "Bacterial small subunit ribosomal RNA", at positions 524 to 776 of the family's 1533-position model. The record is from RNAcentral.